This 253-nucleotide unclassified non-coding RNA is filed under the name Hevea brasiliensis (rubber tree). The record is from RNAcentral. Lineage: Eukaryota; Viridiplantae; Streptophyta; Magnoliopsida; Malpighiales; Euphorbiaceae.
CAAACAUUUAAAUCCAUGCAUAUCUCUCCAUCUUUUUUCACAACAAUCUUAAUCUUUCUAUGGCUUAAAACUUCAUGUCAUUAGAAAUUUUCUCACCAAAUUCAUAAUCAUACAUGUCUGCAAGUCAAAAUUAAUUAAUCUUUCAUUAAUUCUCUCAAAUCAGUACUCUGGUGAAAAUUCUUAGUAAUCAAAAGAAGGAUCUAAUAGUUGAGGAAAUUGUGAUCGCAUUUCUCUGUCCUUAUCCAAGAUACCA